This 636-nucleotide long non-coding RNA is filed under the name Zea mays. RNAcentral describes it as "drought responsive lncRNA". Lineage: Eukaryota; Viridiplantae; Streptophyta; Magnoliopsida; Poales; Poaceae. The record is from RNAcentral.
CUCCAAAAAAAAGUCUCCAUUAUUAACAGUAACAUUAUUACAAUAUUCAGUAAUAGUAACACAUGCAAACCACUAGUACUAGUAAAAUAAGAUCUGUUACACACAUACAAACGACCGAGGGUAUAGCUGCUAGGACACACUAACGUCGUAAAAUCACGGAGUAUAGCUAGCAGGACGCAUAACCUCGACCGUGGGCCUAUAUAUGAUCUAUAUAUAUCGAUCGAACAAUGGAUGCAUUGAUCGCCGAGACCGAGACGAAUGAGGGUUGAGGAGAUUACUACCCCCUCGACGUGCCUUGGCGGCUCAUUCUCGGGAUGGGUUUUGGGACUUCGAAUUCGUUCUUCGGCUUGGGCUCCGGCUCCUUGAUUGGGUUCUUCUCGCGCGUCCUGUGGGUCUUGCUUUGCUCGACCUGCUUCUCGUGCUCCUUCUUCUUCUCGUCGUUGCCGUGGGGGAUCUUGUUUGGAUGAUCCAUGGAUGUAAUAAUGUAGCAGCUGCCUCUGCGCGUUGCACUGACAAACUGCCACAGCCGCUCCUUGCUUGCUCUGUCGCUUGGUCUCGAGGGAGGGAGCGUAGAGAUAUAUAAUAGGAGAGGAUUGUUUGAGCGACUUACUUGACCUGUUAUUCUAUGAGCAGCUU